Molecule: ribosomal RNA, 492 nt
Filed under: uncultured bacterium
Lineage: Bacteria
Description: partial 16S ribosomal RNA
Rfam family: Bacterial small subunit ribosomal RNA
Source: RNAcentral
AGUGAACGCUGGCGGUAGGCCUAACACAUGCAAGUCGAACGGCAGCACAGUAAGAGCUUGCUCUUACGGGUGGCGAGUGGCGGACGGGUGAGGAAUACAUCGGAAUCUACUUUUUCGUGGGGGAUAACGUAGGGAAACUUACGCUAAUACCGCAUACGACCUACGGGCGAAAGCAGGGGAUCUUCGGACCUUGCGCGAUUGAAUGAGCCGAUGUCGGAUUAGCUAGUUGGCGGGGUAAAGGCCCACCAAGGCGACGAUCCGUAGCUGGUCUGAGAGGAUGAUCAGCCACACUGGAACUGAGACACGGUCCAGGCUCCUACGGGAGGCAGCAGUGGGGAAUAUUGGACAAUGGGCGCAAGCCUGAUCCAGCCAUACCGCGUGGGUGAAGAAGGCCUUCGGGUUGUAAAGCCCUUUUGUUGGGAAAGAAAAGCAGCAGAUUAAUACCCCGCUGUUCUGACGGUACCCAAAGAAUAAGCACCGGCUAACUUCGUG